GGGGUCGUAUUGGCUUUGACAGCGAUGGAGGUAAUUAGGUGUCAGCAUGCAGAGCGUUGAAGUGAAGCUCUUAAAUCUCUUGCUCCAAACUAUAAUUGACAACACGUCAUACGCACUUGCUGCCUAAUUAACUGAAUGUUAAUUGGCUUAAUCUAGGUGAAGUUUAGUAACCAGACAAGUACUCUCGCUUGGAUUCCGUUCAUUAAUCUCGGCAUUUGAGAGUUCAUCCUUUUGAUCUAGUGUUUGCGAUGAUUCUAAGCAAAUGCGAAAUUUAGAAUCUAAGUUAUCGUCUUGGGUGUUCAUGUCCGUUUCGAUAGUCGAAAAUUAACCAUGGAAUAAGCAUGUAGAAAGCUUAGUUGCACAUUGUUUGGACGAGGGUUCGAAACCCUCCGGCUCCACUC
This 401-nucleotide transfer-messenger RNA is filed under the name Crocinitomicaceae bacterium. It matches the Rfam family "transfer-messenger RNA". From Rfam's summary of the family: Bacterial tmRNA, also known as 10Sa RNA or SsrA, is named for its dual tRNA and mRNA-like properties. Lineage: Bacteria; Pseudomonadati; Bacteroidota; Flavobacteriia; Flavobacteriales; Crocinitomicaceae. The record is from RNAcentral.